Molecule: ribosomal RNA, 439 nt
Filed under: uncultured bacterium
Lineage: Bacteria
Description: partial 16S ribosomal RNA
Rfam family: Bacterial small subunit ribosomal RNA
Source: RNAcentral
CUACGGGAGGCAGCAGUGAGGAAUAUUGCACAAUGGGGGGAACCCUGAUGCAGCAACGCCGCGUGGAGGAUGACGCAUUUCGGUGUGUAAACUCCUUUUAUAUGUCAAGAAAAUGACGGUGGCAUAUGAAUAAGCACCGGCUAACUCCGCGCCAGCAGCCGCGGUAAUACGGAGGGUGCAAGCGUUACUCGGAAUCACUGGGCGUAAAGGACGCGUAGGCGGGUUGGAAAGUCAGGUGUGAAAUCCUACAGCUUAACUGUAGAACUGCACUUGAAACUUCUAAUCUAGAGUAUGGGAGGGGGAGAUGGAAUUAGUGGUGUAGGGGUAAAAUCCGUAGAUAUCACUAGGAAUACCUAAAGCGAAGGCGAUCUCCUGGAACAUUACUGACGCUAAGGCGUGAAAGCGUGGGGAGCAAACAGGAUUAGAUACCCCGGUAGUC